RNAcentral lists this transfer RNA (73 nucleotides) under Fibrobacterales bacterium. RNAcentral describes it as "tRNA-Lys". It matches the Rfam family "tRNA". From Rfam's summary of the family: Transfer RNA (tRNA) molecules are approximately 80 nucleotides in length. Their secondary structure includes four short double-helical elements and three loops (D, anti-codon, and T loops). Further hydrogen bonds mediate the characteristic L-shaped molecular structure. tRNAs have two regions of fundamental functional importance: the anti-codon, which is responsible for specific mRNA codon recognition, and the 3' end, to which the tRNAs corresponding amino acid is attached (by aminoacyl-tRNA synthetases). tRNAs cope with the degeneracy of the genetic code in two manners: having more than one tRNA (with a specific anti-codon) for a particular amino acid; and 'wobble' base-pairing, i.e. permitting non-standard base-pairing at the 3rd anti-codon position. Lineage: Bacteria; Pseudomonadati; Fibrobacterota; Fibrobacteria; Fibrobacterales. The record is from RNAcentral.
GGGCGAUUAGCUCAGUUGGUAGAGCAGCUGACUCUUAAUCAGCGGGUCGAAGGUUCGAGCCCUUCAUCGCCUA